Molecule: long non-coding RNA, 2465 nt
Organism: Cryptotermes secundus
Lineage: Eukaryota; Metazoa; Arthropoda; Insecta; Blattodea; Kalotermitidae
Exons: 3
Source: RefSeq, a predicted model, not a curated record
CUAUAAAAGCCGUGUACAAGAAUAGUUUGCAGCAGUACUGAUCAGCGCGUGUUUGCUAACAAGUGACAAUGUACCCGAACCCUUUGGAGAGAAAACACUCAACUAUACGUCAGAUGGUUGAUAAAUUUCUGUGUCCGGAGGCAAACCGCAAGAACAAGAACAACAAUAACAACACCAAAUACGGAAAUUGCUCGUCGUCUUGUAAUAAGCAAACCGAUCAUAGUAGAACUACGUCAGGAUAUGGAAAAUAGAGACUGUUUCUUCGUAAAUCACGGUUUAUGUUUAUUAAUACAUUUAUUGAUUAGAGAAGAUACUUUAAAUGCGUGGCGGACUCGAAGAGAUCAAGACGGAACAAGCGACAGAAUUUGGAAAGGGUAAAUAUGUCUUAUCCAUGGUGCAGUCCGAUGUUCGACGAGGCAUAUAUUUUACUGACCGAGGAACUGAUGUUAAGACGUCGGUCUGUCAGUCUGUGGAUUACAGUGAAGUGUGAGGAAGCAACGUAGACCAGCACUGUCCAGUUUUCUGGAGACAAAUGUAAACUGCUCGUUCUUCUCAGUUCUUGUAGACAUCUGCACACUGAAGAUAUUUCCAAAGAUCCACAUAAAGAAGGCUAGUGGCCGUGUACAUAUCAGUUUGGAUACCAUUGAAUUGUUUUGUGUCUGACCCGCUGUGUCUCUAACAGUAUUACUGUACUUCAGCCAAAGUGCGAACGGUGCUUCUCAAACCUGUUGACAGUUACCCUGGUUACUCUCAGACCUUAUUUUCGAUUAUAAACAAGAGUGUAUUUCUUUAGUAUCAUGUUUAGACAUCCGAAAAGUGAAUGGUCACAGAAGUAUAUAAAAUGAUGAUUGAUAGAGAUUUGCUGAAAUCCGAAUUGACUUUAUAUAGUUAGAAACUCAUAGAAAUCUACACGGGUAGGAUUACUUGGAGGCGAAAUUUAUCUAGCGACAAAAUGGCAGGACACUAAAAUUGGCGGGAAUGUUUGACGGCGAAAUUUAUCUAGUCAAAAAGCCACAGGAUUCUAAACUUUGUGAUAAUGUUUGGCAGGGGGCGGGAACGCUUCGUGGCGAACUUGCUCUAGUCACAAACUCACAAUACUGCAAAGUGAGUGACAGUGACUGGCAGCGAAUUAUAACCUUGUCGGUUGAUCGAAUAUACAGGGUGAUUCCGUCAGAAGUGAAAAUGUUGUAGGGUACAGAUCUCAGUACUGACUUUUAUUAAUGCUAAAUUGGGGACAUAGGAGUAACUAUGGCUCUUAUAAUUGUUCCAAUUCAAUAGAAAAAGGAGGGGUCCAUGUAACUGCGAAUGUGAAUCUCUCUCUCUUUCGUUUUCGCUAUAAUUUAAAAUUGAAUAUUUUUAGAGCUCAUCCACGACAAUUAUCCAGCACAGAGGAUUAAAUGCCAUUUUCUGUUGUCCACAUUAAAAACAUUACAUUUUCGUUGAACAGAAGUUGACGAGACCUGCACUAAAAUUGAAGAAUAAAUUGUAAUUAGUAUCAUCGUUCCUUACUGUUUCGGCAUUUUAUUACUACUUUUUAUGUGAAGACAAAGUUAACCCUGAGUUUAAUUAACUAAGCAUCACAUCAUGAAGAUGAGCAGGGAGUGGAGUAUAGCUUCACCAUUCUUAACCUCGGUACUAGUUGGAAGGUCGUGGUCAGCUUCAUGCACCUGCCACUUUACCCUCCAAGGGAAAACUCCCGAUACACAUUGUGUACGAAACUUGGUGGGCCAUCGAGCUGGUCUUGACAUUACGGAGAAGAACAAAUCUCUCUUACUUGCCAGGAACUGAACCCCAACUCCUCGGUCGUUCAACGCGUAACCUUAUCGCUAUAGCGACUGAGCUAGAGUUCCUAAAAAUCUUAUAUUCUGAUGAAAUUCCAUAAAGCACUUAAAAAUGGCAUUUUCAACGGUAACAGGAAUACUCUGUUCCCAUUGCUACGCUGCUGAGCUUGCAUUUGUAAUGCAUUAGGCUCAGACCUACCGAGUAAUCAGUCAACUGUGUACUAUUUCAGAUUCUCACAGCUGUGGUUAUGAAGGGUGACAUAUUCUGGGAUACAGUGACGCAGUGUAGUCGCCUCCAUUUCCAGCUUCGAAUAAUUAGCCAUUUUUCAUGCUGGUUUCUUGCUUGGUUUAUUGGCAUUAUAUCCCCGAAUACAGAACUCUUCAUAAUUAGUGAGAUGUUUAUUUUCAAAAGGACAUAUAUGUUGCUCGUUUUGAGCGAAAAGGGACACUACAACAGUGCUGUGUUUGAGAAUCACCGUGCAAUCUGAUGUAUUAGCUAGUCCGAUGUAGCACUGUACGCUUCGUGAUUUAAUUUAUUUCCUCUGUUCUAUUUUUAUUGAGCAAUUAUGUUUGUAAACCAAAUAUAUAAGUGUAAGUGUGUAACUUAUUAUAUAAGCACCAUUUUGUGACAUUUUUUUUACAGAGAUAAAUAAUAAAAGAAUUGCCUAUAACCGAAACAUUUUU